GAGAUUUAAACAUUCAUAAAACAAAAAUGUCUGGAGGAGAAGAAGACGAAAGAAAACGCCACCGAACUCAAAUUUUCCGAUGAGUUUUUGAAGGCAAAGUGUCUAAUGAACUGUGAAGUUGCCUUAAUUCUUGAACACAAGUAUGAGCAGCCUCAACAGAUGUCUGAGGAUCCUAUGAACCAAAUAUCUCAGGUUUUCGAGAAGUCACUCCAAUAUGUGAAGUGCUGCUGCCAUUAUAAGAACCCUGAUGCUGUCAGACAAGUUCGAGAGUGUCCAUCAUGAUGAAUUUUUCCUUAUGUUUCAUAUUUAUACAUGCCAUUUAUGAUUAAUCUGUGAUCGUGUUUAUGUUAAACUACUUGAUAACGAAUUCAAGAUGGACGAUGGACCAUUACCAUAUUGAUUUGUUAUACAUUUUCCCUUGUUUUUGUACUCCUUGUUUCAUCCUUUGGCUGGUACACCACUUAACCUUCUACUUUGGGUGGUUCUUCGAGAUGUAUAAAGGUGUUCAUAUUCGAGAA
Olea europaea var. sylvestris is the source of this 518-nucleotide long non-coding RNA. RefSeq lists it as uncharacterized. Lineage: Eukaryota; Viridiplantae; Streptophyta; Magnoliopsida; Lamiales; Oleaceae. The record is from RefSeq and is a predicted model, not a curated record. The transcript has 3 exons.